Non-coding RNA from Trichobilharzia regenti, 49 nucleotides. Lineage: Eukaryota; Metazoa; Platyhelminthes; Trematoda; Strigeidida; Schistosomatidae. The record is from Rfam.
GUACUGCUGAAGAGUCUCAAACUAGACUGAUGAAACAGCUGUCCAGUAC